Molecule: non-coding RNA, 22 nt
Filed under: Arabidopsis thaliana (thale cress)
Lineage: Eukaryota; Viridiplantae; Streptophyta; Magnoliopsida; Brassicales; Brassicaceae
Source: RNAcentral
GGAUCCUCAGUUCCUACAGACC